CCUACGGGUGGCAGCAGUGGGGAAUAUUGCACAAUGGGCGAAAGCCUGAUCCAGCAACGCCGCGUGAGCGAUGAAGGCCUUCGGGUCGUAAAGCUCUUUCCUCAAGGAAGAUAAUGACGUUACUUGAGGAGGAAGUCACGGCCAACUCCGUGCCAGCCGCCGCGGUAAUACGUAGGGGGCUAGCGUUAUCCGGAAUUACUGGGGGUAAAGGGUGCGUAGGUGGUUUCUUAAGUCAGAGGUGAAAGGCUACGGCUCAACCGUCGUAAGCCUAUGAAACUGGAGAACUGGAGUGCAAGAGAGGAGAGUGGAAUUCCUGGUGUAGCGGUGAAAUGCGUAGAUAUUAGGAAGAACACCAGUUGCGAAGGCGGCUUGCUGGAUUGUAACUGACACUGAGGCACGAAAGCGUGGGGAGCAAACAGGAUUAGAUACCCGAGUAGUC
Molecule: ribosomal RNA, 439 nt
Filed under: uncultured bacterium
Lineage: Bacteria
Description: partial 16S ribosomal RNA
Rfam family: Bacterial small subunit ribosomal RNA
Source: RNAcentral